UCCUCUGUAGUUCAGUCGGUAGAACGACGGACUGUUAAUCCGUAUGUCACUGGUUCGAGUCCAGUCAGAGGAGCCA
This 76-nucleotide transfer RNA is filed under the name Escherichia coli. RNAcentral describes it as "tRNA-Asn". It matches the Rfam family "tRNA". Rfam says of the family: Transfer RNA (tRNA) molecules are approximately 80 nucleotides in length. Their secondary structure includes four short double-helical elements and three loops (D, anti-codon, and T loops). Lineage: Bacteria; Pseudomonadati; Pseudomonadota; Gammaproteobacteria; Enterobacterales; Enterobacteriaceae. The record is from RNAcentral. RNAcentral also lists the same sequence under 11 other names.